RNAcentral lists this ribosomal RNA (3086 nucleotides) under Corynebacterium flavescens. RNAcentral's name for it is "bacterial LSU rRNA". It matches the Rfam family "Bacterial large subunit ribosomal RNA". Lineage: Bacteria; Bacillati; Actinomycetota; Actinomycetes; Mycobacteriales; Corynebacteriaceae. The record is from RNAcentral.
UGUUCGUUAUUUAGGGCGCAUGGUGGAUGCCUUGGCAUGCUGAGCCGAUGAAGGACGUGUAAGGCUGCGUUAAGCCUCGGGGAGUUGUCAAUUGAGCGUUGAUCCGAGGAUGUCCGAAUGGGGAAACCCCGCCAUCGUUAUUGGUGGUGACCUUUCAGUGAAUUCAUAGCUGUUGUGGGGGUGUACGCGGGGAAGUGAAACAUCUCAGUACCCGUAGGAGGAGAAAAUAAUAAUGAUUCUGCUAGUAGUGGCGAACGAACGUGGAUGAGGCUAAACCGUGUGCAUGUGAUACCUGGUAGGGGUUGUGUGUGCGGUGUUGUGGGCCCUGAUGUCUGGUAGCUACUGAUGCCGGGCUUGUGUGUUGUUGUUAGGUGAAGUGGUUUGGAAUGACCCGCCGUAGAAGGUGAGAGCCCUGUAGGUGAAGAUGAUGGUGUGCAAGUUGUUGGGUUGCCCGAGUAGCAGCGGGCUCGUGGAAUCUGCUGUGAAUCUGCCGGGACCACCCGGUAAGCCUAAAUACUCAGUGUGACCGAUAGUGAAUAGUACCGUGAGGGAAUGGUGAAAAGUACCCCGGGAGGGGAGUGAAAUAGUUCCUGAAACCAUGUGCUUACAAUCCGUUAGAGCACCUUUUGUGUGUGAUGGCGUGCCUUUUGAAGAAUGAGCCUGCGAGUCAGCGGCAUGUCGCGAGGUUAACCCGUGUGGGGUAGCCGUAGGGAAACCGAAUCCUAAUGGGGUGUUUUUAGUGGCAUGUCCUGGACCCGAAGCGGGGUGAUCUACCCAUGGCCAGUGUGAAGCAGUAGUAAGAUGCUGUGGAGGCGCGAACCCACGUAGGUUGAAAACUGCGGGGAUGAGUUGUGGGUAGGGGUGAAAGGCCAAUCAAACUCCGUGAUAGCUGGUUCUCCCCGAAAUGCAUUUAGGUGCAGCGUCGCAUUAGCUUGGUGGAGGUAGAGCUACUGGUUGGUUGAGCGGGACUACAAUCUUAGCAAUGUCAGCCAAACUCCGAAUGCCAUUAAUGUGUUGUGCGGCAGUGAGACUGUGGGGGAUAAGCUUCAUAGUCGAGAGGGAAACAGCCCAGAUCGCCGGUUAAGGCCCCUAAGGGUGUGCUAAGUGGAAAAGGAUGUGGGAUCGCGAAGACAGCCAGGAGGUUGGCUUAGAAGCAGCCAUCCUUGAAAGAGUGCGUAAUAGCUCACUGGUCGAGUGGUUCUGCGCCGACAAUGUAGUGGGGCUCAAGCACACCGCCGAAGCCGCGGCAUAUAUGCACUUUGUGUGUGUAUGGGUAGGGGAGCGUCGUGCAUGCGUUGAAGCGUUACCGUGAGGAGGCGUGGAGUGUGUGCGAGUGAGAAUGCAGGCAUGAGUAACGAAUUGAUAGGUGAGAAUCCUAUCCGCCGGAUGACUAAGGGUUCCUGGGUCAAGUUCGUCUUCCCAGGGUGAGUCGGGACCUAAGGCGAGGCCGUCAGGCGUAGUCGAUGGACAACCAGUUGAUAUUCUGGUACCCGUAAGCAUGCGCCCAUGAUAAAGCAUUGAUACUAACCACCAUGCCGGCACGUGUACUUCUAGCCUUUUAGGUUGGUUGUUGGUGUUUGGUGUCGUGGGGCCUGAUAUGUGGUUCAAGCGAUGGGGUGACACAGUUGGGUAGCCAUGCCGCUUAUUGGAUUGUUGGUGUAAGCGUGUAGCUGGGGGUGAGUGGUAAAUCCGCAUCCCCUUUAUGUGAGACGUGAUGCGUAGCCGUAAUUGGUGAAGUUGGUGAUCCCUUGCUGUCGAGAAAAGCCUCUAGUGAGUGUGUUUAUGGCCCGUACCCUAAACCGACACAGGUAGUCAGGUUGAAAAUACUAAGGCGUUCGGGUGAACUGUGGUUAAGGAACUCGGCAAAUUGCCCCCGUAACUUCGGGAGAAGGGGGACCUUGCGUGGUGGCACAUCCUUGCGGUGUGUGUGCUUCGUGGGGUCGCAGAGAAUAGAGGGAAGCGACUGUUUAUCAAAAACACAGGUCCAUGCGAAGACGUUAAGUUGAUGUAUAUGGACUGACGCCUGCCCGGUGCUGGAAGGUUAAGAGGACCGGUUAGUCACAUAUUGUGUGGCGAAGCUGAGAAUUUAAGCCCCAGUAAACGGCGGUGGUAACUAUAACCAUCCUAAGGUAGCGAAAUUCCUUGUCGGGUAAGUUCCGACCUGCACGAAUGGCGUAACGACUUCCCUGCUGUCUCAACCACAGGCCCGGUGAAAUUGCACUACGAGUAAAGAUGCUCGUUACGCGCGGCAGGACGAAAAGACCCCGGGACCUUCACUAUAGCUUGGUAUUGGUGUUUGGUUCGGUUUGUGUAGGAUAGGUGGGAGACUUAGAAGCAUUAACGCUAGUUGGUGUGGAGUCGUUGUUGAAAUACCACUCUGAUCGGAUUGAGCACCUGAACCUUGGCCCAUGAUCUGGGUUGGGGACAGUGCCUGGUGGGUAGUUUAACUGGGGCGGUUGCCUCCCAAAAUGUAACGGAGGCGCCCAAAGGUUCCCUCAGCCUGGUUGGCAAUCAGGUGGUGAGUGUAAGUGCACAAGGGAGCUUGACUGCGAGAGUGACAACUCGAGCAGGGACGAAAGUCGGGACUAGUGAUCCGGCACCUACUUGUGGAUGUGGUGUCGCUCAACGGAUAAAAGGUACCCCGGGGAUAACAGGCUGAUCUUCCCCAAGAGUCCAUAUCGACGGGAUGGUUUGGCACCUCGAUGUCGGCUCGUCGCAUCCUGGGGCUGGAGUAGGUCCCAAGGGUUGGGCUGUUCGCCCAUUAAAGCGGCACGCGAGCUGGGUUCAGAACGUCGUGAGACAGUUCGGUCUCUAUCCGCCGCGCGCGUUGAAACUUGAAGAAGGCUGUCCCUAGUACGAGAGGACCGGGACGGACGUACCUCUAGUGUGCCAGUUGUUCCGCCAGGGGCAUUGCUGGUUGGCUACGUACGGAAGGGAUAACCGCUGAAAGCAUCUAAGCGGGAAGCCUGUUUUAAGAUGAGGUUUCAUUUGAGGUCCCCUAAAGACUAUGGGGUUGAUAGGCCAGACCUGUAAGCACUGUAAAGUGUUAAGGCUACUGGUACUAAUAGACCAAAACAAACACACCC